GGUGGCUCAGUGGUGGAGUGCUUGUCUUGCAUGCAUGAGGCCCUGGGUUCGAUUCCUCAGCACCA
RNAcentral lists this transfer RNA (65 nucleotides) under Dipodomys ordii (Ord's kangaroo rat). It matches the Rfam family "tRNA". From Rfam's summary of the family: Transfer RNA (tRNA) molecules are approximately 80 nucleotides in length. Their secondary structure includes four short double-helical elements and three loops (D, anti-codon, and T loops). The record is from Rfam by way of RNAcentral. Lineage: Eukaryota; Metazoa; Chordata; Mammalia; Rodentia; Heteromyidae.